CUGGCUCAGGAUGAACGCUAGCGGCAGGCUUAACACAUGCAAGUCGAGGGCAGCGCGAGGUAGCAAUACUUUGGCGGCGACCGGCGCAAGGGUGCGUAACGCGUGAGCAACUUGCCCGUAACAGGAGGAUAACCGGAGGAAACUCCGACUAAUACUGCGUAGUAAUAAUUGGUGGCAUCACCGAGUGUUUAAAGGCGAAAGCCGGUUACGGAUAGGCUCGCGUGACAUUAGCUGGAUGGCGGGGUAACGGCCCACCAUGGCGACGAUGUCUAGGGGUUCUGAGAGGAAGGUCCCCCACACUGGUACUGAGACACGGACCAGACUCCUACGGGAGGCAGCAGUGAGGAAUAUUGGACAAUGGUCGGAAGACUGAUCCAGCCAUGCCGCGUGAAAGGGCUAAGGUCCUAUGGAUUGUAAACUUCUUUUGUACGAGAGGAAUAAGGCGGACGAGUCCGUCGACGACAGUAUCGUACGAAUAAGCAUCGGCUAACUCCGUGCCAGCCGCUGC
RNAcentral lists this ribosomal RNA (508 nucleotides) under uncultured bacterium. RNAcentral describes it as "bacterial SSU rRNA". It matches the Rfam family "Bacterial small subunit ribosomal RNA", at positions 19 to 518 of the family's 1533-position model. The record is from RNAcentral.